GCAGGGUGAAUGCAAUCUUUGAAAAGGGCACUGUGUGUUCUUUUUGGUUUUCUAGCACUUGCACUCAGGUGAGGUCCUCUCAAGUCCCAGUUUAAAAAAAAAAGUUCUGUUAUAAAAUGGCAGCAAAAGACUGAAGGAGUUUGCUCUUUUAUAAUGACUUACAUGAAUGUAAAAAAUUCUACUUUUUUGGUUGAUCUCUAGCAAGGUAACUACCCUCAUCACACACAAGCUGGCAACAAGUGAAAAACUGAAACAGCUAAUAUUUAGUAACAAAUCAUAUAUCCAGACAAAGUCAGUGAUGCAGAGGCAUUUAGCCAACUCUACAUCAUUUAUUUGACAGUACCACAUGGCAAGCAAUGGCAAAGUUGGCUUUAAAAGCUAAAACAGAUUGUUUCUUUCGUUUGUACUUUGGGUGAAGUAUAACUGCAACAUAGUAUAGUACUAAACAGAUAGUACAUUACAAUCAGCAACUUGUGAUAUCCACUCUAAUGGAACUUGUGUAUGAGAGGCCACUAUGAAUGCUUAUAACAAAUGUUAUGAAGUCUAAUGAUGAACAGCUUACUGCAUAUUGCUAAAUUUCCCCUCUUUUUUACUUGAAUACGUCACUAAAUUUAGCUGUGUUUGUCAGUCAUUGUUAACAAAAAUCUUCUGAUAAAUGUUUUGAAGCAAUCAAAACUUGCACUCUGAUCCACUGAAU
Rhineura floridana is the source of this 697-nucleotide long non-coding RNA. RefSeq lists it as uncharacterized. The record is from RefSeq and is a predicted model, not a curated record. Lineage: Eukaryota; Metazoa; Chordata; Lepidosauria; Squamata; Rhineuridae. The transcript is spliced from 3 exons.